AUGAACGCUGGCGACGUGGAUAAGGCAUGCAAGUUGUACGAUUGGAGGUUGGAAUUUCUAACUUCCAGUAGUAGCAGACGAGGUAGUAACGCGUAGGAACAUACCCCCGAGACGGGCAUAACGGGCCGAAAGGUCCGCUAAUUCCCGAUGGUCUCGCAAGAGUAAAUCCCUAAAAGGGGCUUGGGGAGUGGCCUGCGUAGUAUCAGCUAGUUGGCGGUGUAAUAGACCACCAAGGCUAUGACGCUUAGGGGCGCUGAGAGGCGGACCCCCACCGAUGGUACUGAGAAACGGACCAUACACCUACGGGUGGCCGCAGCCGAGAAUAUUCGACAAUGGGCGAAAGCCUGAUCGAGCGACGUCGCGUGCAGGAUGAAGGCCUUCGGGUUGUAAACUGCUUUUGUAGGCUAGAAAUUUUUGAUCAGCCUAAGAAUAAGAGGUUGCUAACUCUGU
RNAcentral lists this ribosomal RNA (450 nucleotides) under uncultured bacterium. RNAcentral's name for it is "bacterial SSU rRNA". It matches the Rfam family "Bacterial small subunit ribosomal RNA", at positions 29 to 506 of the family's 1533-position model. The record is from RNAcentral.